GGGGGGACGCAGGAAGGUAAGGCGAGCGCACGGAUGGAAGCGUGCGUUCAAGCCGUGAGGCUUGCAGCGAGGCAAAUCCCGCUGCUUGUGGCCAAGCGGUGAUGAGGAGGGAAAUUAAGUACCGAAGCGCCUGAUCCUACACUGCCAAGAAAAGCCUCUAGCGAGUGAAACGGUGCCCGUACCCAAACCGACACAGGUGGGCAAGAAGAGAAUUCUAAGACGCUCGGGAGAACUCUCGUUAAGGAACUCGGCAAAAUCACCCCGUAACUUCGGGAGAAGGGGUGCUCGAAGGACCUUCGGGUCCGGAGAGCCGCAGUGAAAAGAUCCAAGCGACUGUUUACCAAAAACACAGGUUUCUGCUAAACCGUAAGGUGAUGUAUAGGGGCUGACACCUGCCCGGUGCUGGAAGGUUAAAAGGAGAGGUUAUCCCUUCGGGGAGAAGCUUUGAAUUGAAGCCCCAGUAAACGGCGGCCGUAACUAUAACGGUCCUAAGGUAGCGAAAUUCCUUGUCGGGUAAGUUCCGACCCGCACGAAAGGUGUAACGAUUUGGAUACUGUCUCAACGAGAGACCCGGUGAAAUUAUAGUACCUGUGAAGAUGCAGGUUACCCGCGACAGGACGGAAAGACCCCAUGGAGCUUUACUGCAGCUUGAUAUUGGAUGUGGGUAUCGUUUGUACAGGAUAGGCAGGAGCCUUGGAAGCCGGACCGCUAGGUUCGGUGGAGGCAUCGGUGGGAUACUGCCCUGACGAUAUCGACAUUCUAACCCUGAGCCGUGAUCCGGUUCGGAGACAGUGUCAGGCGGGCAGUUUGACUGGGGCGGUCGCCUCCUAAAAGGUAACGGAGGCGCCCAAAGGUUCCCUCAGAAUGGUUGGAAAUCAUUCGCAGAGUGUAAAGGCACAAGGGAGCUUGACUGCGAGACCUACAAGUCGAGCAGGGACGAAAGUCGGGCUUAGUGAUCCGGUGGCACCGCAUGGAAGGGCCAUCGCUCAACGGAUAAAAGCUACCCUGGGGAUAACAGGCUUAUCUCCCCCAAGAGUUCACAUCGACGGGGAGGUUUGGCACCUCGAUGUCGGCUCAUCGCAUCCUGGGGCUGAAGUAGGUCCCAAGGGUUGGGCUGUUCGCCCAUUAAAGCGGUACGCGAGCUGGGUUCAGAACGUCGUGAGACAGUUCGGUCCCUAUCCGUCGCGGGCGUAGGAAAUUUGAGAAGAGCUGUCCUUAGUACGAGAGGACCGGGAUGGACACACCGCUGGUGUACCAGUUGUUCCGCCAGGAGCAUACGCUGGGUAGCUAUGUGUGGACGGGAUAAGUGCUGAAAGCAUCUAAGCAUGAAGCCCCCUUCAAGAUGAGAUUUCCCAUGAUUUUAAAUCAGUAAGACCCCUUAGAGAUGAUGAGGUUGAUAGGUCUGGAGUGGAAGCACGGUGACGUGUGAAGCGGACAGAUACUAAUCGGUCGAGGACUUAACC
Molecule: non-coding RNA, 1463 nt
Filed under: Sporolactobacillus inulinus CASD
Lineage: Bacteria; Bacillati; Bacillota; Bacilli; Caryophanales; Sporolactobacillaceae
Description: Bacterial large subunit ribosomal RNA
Rfam family: Bacterial large subunit ribosomal RNA
Source: Rfam by way of RNAcentral